UACAGAGGGUGCGAGCGUUAAUCGGAAUUACUGGGCGUAAAGGGUGCGUAGGUGGUCAUUUAAGUCAGAUGUGAAAACCCUGGGCUCAACCUAGGAAUGGCAUUUGAUACUGGAUGACUAGAGUUCGGAAGAGGAAAGUGGAAUUUCAGGUGUAGCGGUGAAAUGCGUAGAUAUCUGAAGGAACAUCAGUGGCGAAGGCGACUUUCUGGUCCGACACUGACACUGAGGCACGAAAGCGUGGGGAGCAAACAGG
RNAcentral lists this ribosomal RNA (253 nucleotides) under uncultured bacterium. Its description in RNAcentral is "partial 16S ribosomal RNA". It matches the Rfam family "Bacterial small subunit ribosomal RNA", at positions 524 to 776 of the family's 1533-position model. The record is from RNAcentral.